CAGGGGCUCCGAGGCGGGAGCAAAACCCGGCCGCUGCUCUGCACGCUGCUCCCGCCUGCACGCCUGGCCUCGCCCCACGCCCGCCGGGCUCCGCCGCCUGCUCCCUUCCCUCUCCCCUGGUUCCCUCCCUCUUUCUCCUCCCUCCUCCCUCCCUCCCUCUCCCUUCCUUUCUCGCCGCCUCUGUCAGUCUCUGGCUCUCCCUGCCUUUCAGCCCAGCCUCUCUCCACUUCCGUCUCUCCUGUCUAAGGUCCUCGUUCUGUUUUUCCGUGUGCCUCCCACUGUCCUUCCAUCCCCACGUCGCACCCUCGCUCCUCGGCUUCCCCUGCCGCUCUGCUUCUUCCCUAAAGUCCUCCCGAGAAAGAGUAGGGACUCUGGAGUUUCCGCCGCCGCGGGCAGAAGGGCAGGAAGAGCUCCAGGGCUGCCCCAGCUCCUGAGCUCUUGGCGGAAGCUUCUGCUCCCUCCCGGCCCUGCUCCGUGCGCCGGCCGCCCAUCCUCCGGCGGCGGCUGCGACCCCGACCUCGGCGGGGGAAAGGACCGAAAAGCAAGAGUGCUGGUGCUCUGCUCGCCCGCCCAAGCGUCAAGGCGCCCAUCCACCCGUCCCCGGCUCGGCUCUGUGUCUCCAGAGGGAUCGGCAUCCCUGUGGAGAGAGCCCAGCUGGGAUCGCCCCGCGCCCGCGGAGUCUCUGCCGUCUCCCCCCUCUCCUGGGUUCUGGUGCAGCGGGUCUCAGCUCCGCGAAGGGGAAGGGCGAGGCGAAGCGACGCGGCUCCUUCUCGACCCGCUGCAGCGCCCCUUGGGCUCGCUGGCCCGGCGGCUACACGCGCCCUCCAGGUGGCGGCACCGCCUGGUGUCCGGUCCCGGGGCCGCAGGGUCCGGCCCUGCCAGCAGGCGGCGCUGCCCAGGCCAGAGCAGGGGGGACGCACCCCGGAUCCAGACACCGCCCAAGCCCAGGACGAACCCCUCUCCCCCUCCUUUCUCCAGGAACUGCAGUCCCAGCUCGAGACCCCCAGUAGGAGACCCCAGGCUGCGCUCUACUUAUUCCCACCCCGUGGGGCUCCUUCGAGACACCCGCGCCCUUCCGGGACCCUAGCCCGUCCCUACCUCCAUCCUGGUCUCGAGGGGCGCCCCAGCUAAGCCGGGCAGCGUCCUGGCCGGGACUGGGCAGCAGGGAGUACAGAGUCGCGGGACCGCUCCUCGGGCUGGACCCUUCUCCAGACCAAAGACGGCGCCUGGGGCGGGGAGAGACGGACCCCCCUUCAUGGAGACAGACACACGCUGACUCCGAUUGACCCAGGUCCCCAACUUCCCCUCAGCAUUAACUAGAACGCUCUCCCCUUUCCAGUGGAGGGCGUCCCACCCUUCUUCCCGGCCCUUCUUUUAACCCACUUCCCCUGGGAGUUUCCGGGACCCCUCCCCUCAAUCCUCCCAUCCCCGGGAUCUCGGGAGACUGUUCCUCCCUCUCUGCUCAGCUGACCCUCCACUUGCCCCCAUUUCUGAGGGAGGUAAGUUGGGGGAGAGUAAAUUCUCUCUCCACUCCCUCCUCCCGAGGCUGGAUUUAACCUGGAAAGUGCUUUGAGAAGGCACCUCCUCCCCCACUCCCUCUGUAGUCUAGUCUAGUGGGUCACGGAGCCCCUACCACCCACCCACCUCCAAGUUGCUCAGCUUCGAC
RNAcentral lists this long non-coding RNA (1666 nucleotides) under Homo sapiens (human). RNAcentral describes it as "PREDICTED lncRNA (TCONS_00061893)". The record is from RNAcentral. Lineage: Eukaryota; Metazoa; Chordata; Mammalia; Primates; Hominidae.